Molecule: long non-coding RNA, 452 nt
Filed under: Prunus persica (peach)
Lineage: Eukaryota; Viridiplantae; Streptophyta; Magnoliopsida; Rosales; Rosaceae
Description: long non-coding RNA (PPER_LNC006087)
Source: RNAcentral
GGAUGGGGUGGGGGAGCUGGGAGGAGAAGGGGACGAAGAGAGAGAGAGAGAGAGGGACGAAGAAAUGGAGGUUUUUUUAUAAGCUUUUUUUAAAUGUUAUUUUAUUAUAUUAUAUAAUUGGUUUAUUAAUUUUUUAAGAAAUUGGUGGGUUCCACAGUGCACACAUCAUCAAUUAACGUCUGCCCAAAUGGUUAACUUAACGGAAGGCUUAAAUUGGUCAGAUUAAAAAUCAUCGAGUGUAAAUUGAUGAAAUUGAAACUCGAGGGCCCAUAUUAAGAAUGACACCAAAUCUUUAGUGUGUCUUUGACGUUAGCCCAAAAAAAAAAUUGUGUAAAAAAAGAAAAGAAAAAGAAAAAUCAAGACAAUAUCAAGAUGAAGUUAUGUGCUAAAGCACAAGACGUUAUAAUUGUAUGGAAAGCUCUACUUAGUCCUUAGACUUUGUUUGUUCAUCC